Podarcis muralis (Common wall lizard) is the source of this 284-nucleotide non-coding RNA. The record is from RefSeq and is a predicted model, not a curated record. NCBI's taxonomy places the organism in Eukaryota, Metazoa, Chordata, Lepidosauria, Squamata, Lacertidae.
CCGCCCAAGACAUAUUCCGGCGCCGGCGGAAUUUCCAGCCCCGUUCCGCCCAAGACGUAUUCCGGCGCCGGCGGAAUUUCCAGCCCCGUUCCGCCCAAGACGUAUUCCGGCGCCGGCGGAAUUUCCAGCCCCGUCCCGCCCAAAAUAUAUUCCGCCGCCGGCGCCGAAAUCUUGUCGCCGGGCAAAAACGAGGAGGAAAUCUACGGAAGCCCGGAAGGGACCAAGCCGGAGAAAUCGUACGUGGGAAGGGCGGGGUUUGGGAAGUCCCGCCCCCGGAAGUCCCG